UGAUUUUUGAUCCAUCUACUGCAACAAAAAGCGUUUUCGAGGUAAGCACUUUUUUGUAGAUCAUUUGAGUAAUGGCAGCCUUAAUUCUCAACAUAAACCUUCUGGAAACAUGAACGUAAAGUUCCUUUACAACAGAUGCCAAAUAAGGACCGAUCAGGAGUACAAAAACCCAUAAAAAAGGGCUGUUUCCUUCAUCACUCUUCGGGUUUUGUAAAUAUUGCAAAAGUUUUUUAAUAGCAAGAGGAGUGACAAAUAAUGUUGAACUGACGAGAACGGACAAAAAAACCAUCAAUAGAAUUGUUGAUUUAAGGGAUAAAAGGAUUGUAUGCAUAAGUGAUUUUCUAUCAUUCUUGGCGAACCGGCUGUACCAAAUCUGGGUACACUCGGUGUCAGGAAGAGCAGGAACAUCAGUGAGGGUAAUAGGUUUUUUCCACGAUUUCCAUAUAAUACCGUUUAACCAUCCGUAAGUAAAAAUCAAAGAAAAUAUACUACAUGUUUGUUCAGGAGACGGGCGAGCAACCUUGGAAAACUUAACGGUCGGGCUCCACGCUCUUGGAAAAAAGAGAGGAAUUAUGACAAGCAAAAAUAAAGUAAUGUUAUAAGCUAAAGGAAGCAGGAGAAGAAAGGAUCCG
Non-coding RNA from Schizosaccharomyces pombe (fission yeast), 632 nucleotides. NCBI's taxonomy places the organism in Eukaryota, Fungi, Ascomycota, Schizosaccharomycetes, Schizosaccharomycetales, Schizosaccharomycetaceae. The record is from the annotation of a GenBank genome assembly.